GGGUUGUGAGGUUAAGCGACUAAGCGUACACGGUGGAUGCCCUGGCAGUCAGAGGCGAUGAAGGGCGUGCUAAUCUGCGAUAAGCGCCGGUAAGGUGAUAUGAACCGUUAUAACCGGCGAUACCCGAAUGGGGAAACCCAGUGUGAUUCGUCACACUAUCAUUAACUGAAUCCAUAGGUUAAUGAGGCGAACCGGGGGAACUGAAACAUCUAAGUACCCCGAGGAAAAGAAAUCAACCGAGAUUCCCCCAGUAGCGGCGAGCGAACGGGGAGGAGCCCAGAGCCUGAAUCAGCAUGUGUGUUAGUGGAAGCGUCUGGAAAGGCGCGCGAUACAGGGUGACAGCCCCGUACACAAAAGCGCAUGUGCUGUGAGCUCGAUGAGUAGGGCGGGACACGUGGUAUCCUGUCUGAAUAUGGGGGGACCAUCCUCCAAGGCUAAAUACUCCUGACUGACCGAUAGUGAACCAGUACCGUGAGGGAAAGGCGAAAAGAACCCCGGCGAGGGGAGUGAAAAAGAACCUGAAACCGUGUACGUACAAGCAGUGGGAGCNNNNNNNNNNNNNNNNNNNNNNNNNNNNNNNNNNNNNNNNNNNNNNNNNNNNNNNNNNNGGCGUUAAGUUGCAGGGUAUAGACCCGAAACCCGGUGAUCUAGCCAUGGGCAGGUUGAAGGUUGGGUAACACUAACUGGAGGACCGAACCGACUAAUGUUGAAAAAUUAGCGGAUGACCUGUGGCUGGGGGUGAAAGGCCAAUCAAACCGGGAGAUAGCUGGUUCUCCCCGAAAGCUAUUUAGGUAGCGCCUCGUGAAUUCAUCUCCGGGGGUAGAGCACUGUUUCGGCUAGGGGGCCAUCCCGGCUUACCAACCCGAUGCAAACUGCGAAUACCGGAGAAUGUUAUCACGGGAGACACACGGCGGGUGCUAACGUCCGUCGUGAAGAGGGAAACAACCCAGACCGCCAGCUAAGGUCCCAAAGUCAUGGUUAAGUGGGAAACGAUGUGGGAAGGCCCAGACAGCCAGGAUGUUGGCUUAGAAGCAGCCAUCAUUUAAAGAAAGCGUAAUAGCUCACUGGUCGAGUCGGCCUGCGCGGAAGAUGUAACGGGGCUAAACCAUGCACCGAAGCUGCGGCAGCGACACUGUGUGUUGUUGGGUAGGGGAGCGUUCUGUAAGCCUGCGAAGGUGGCCUGUGAGGGUUGCUGGAGGUAUCAGAAGUGCGAAUGCUGACAUAAGUAACGAUAAAGCGGGUGAAAAGCCCGCUCGCCGGAAGACCAAGGGUUCCUGUCCAACGUUAAUCGGGGCAGGGUGAGUCGACCCCUAAGGCGAGGCCGAAAGGCGUAGUCGAUGGGAAACGGGUUAAUAUUCCCGUACUUGGUGUUACUGCGAAGGGGGGACGGAGAAGGCUAUGUUGGCCGGGCGACGGUUGUCCCGGUUUAAGCGUGUAGGUGUGUGUUCCAGGUAAAUCCGGUUCACUUUAACACUGAGGCGUGACGACGAGGCACUACGGUGCUGAAGCAACAAAUGCCCUGCUUCCAGGAAAAGCCUCUAAGCAUCAGGUAACAUCAAAUCGUACCCCAAACCGACACAGGUGGUCAGGUAGAGAAUACCAAGGCGCUUGAGAGAACUCGGGUGAAGGAACUAGGCAAAAUGGUGCCGUAACUUCGGGAGAAGGCACGCUGACACGUAGGUGAAGUGAUUUACUCAUGGAGCUGAAGUCAGUCGAAGAUACCAGCUGGCUGCAACUGUUUAUUAAAAACACAGCACUGUGCAAACACGAAAGUGGACGUAUACGGUGUGACGCCUGCCCGGUGCCGGAAGGUUAAUUGAUGGGGUCAGCGCAAGCGAAGCUCCUGAUCGAAGCCCCGGUAAACGGCGGCCGUAACUAUAACGGUCCUAAGGUAGCGAAAUUCCUUGUCGGGUAAGUUCCGACCUGCACGAAUGGCGUAAUGAUGGCCAGGCUGUCUCCACCCGAGACUCAGUGAAAUUGAACUCGCUGUGAAGAUGCAGUGUACCCGCGGCAAGACGGAAAGACCCCGUGAACCUUUACUAUAGCUUGACACUGAACAUUGAGCCUUGAUGUGUAGGAUAGGUGGGAGGCUUUGAAGUGUGGACGCCAGUCUGCAUGGAGCCGACCUUGAAAUACCACCCUUUAAUGUUUGAUGUUCUAACGUGGACCCGUUACCCGGGUUGCGGACAGUGUCUGGUGGGUAGUUUGACUGGGGCGGUCUCCUCCUAAAGAGUAACGGAGGAGCACGAAGGUUGGCUAAUCCUGGUCGGACAUCAGGAGGUUAGUGCAAUGGCAUAAGCCAGCUUGACUGCGAGCGUGACGGCGCGAGCAGGUGCGAAAGCAGGUCAUAGUGAUCCGGUGGUUCUGAAUGGAAGGGCCAUCGCUCAACGGAUAAAAGGUACUCCGGGGAUAACAGGCUGAUACCGCCCAAGAGUUCAUAUCGACGGCGGUGUUUGGCACCUCGAUGUCGGCUCAUCACAUCCUGGGGCUGAAGUAGGUCCCAAGGGUAUGGCUGUUCGCCAUUUAAAGUGGUACGCGAGCUGGGUUUAGAACGUCGUGAGACAGUUCGGUCCCUAUCUGCCGUGGGCGCUGGAGAACUGAGGGGGGCUGCUCCUAGUACGAGAGGACCGGAGUGGACGCAUCACUGGUGUUCGGGUUGUCAUGCCAAUGGCACUGCCCGGUAGCUAAAUGCGGAAGAGAUAAGUGCUGAAAGCAUCUAAGCACGAAACUUGCCCCGAGAUGAGUUCUCCCUGAGACUUAGAGUCUCCUGAAGGAACGUUGAAGACGACGACGUUGAUAGGCCGGGUGUGUAAGCGCAGCGAUGCGUUGAGCUAACCGGUACUAAUGAACCGUGAGGCUUAACCUUACAACGCCGAAG
This 2878-nucleotide ribosomal RNA is filed under the name Salmonella enterica subsp. enterica serovar Enteritidis. Its description in RNAcentral is "23S ribosomal RNA". It matches the Rfam family "Bacterial large subunit ribosomal RNA". The record is from RNAcentral. Lineage: Bacteria; Pseudomonadati; Pseudomonadota; Gammaproteobacteria; Enterobacterales; Enterobacteriaceae.